GUUGUACGAUAUCGAAGAAAUAAGAAAAAUGAUUUGUUGUGCUGCCGUUUCGAUUUAUAAACCUGCACUUUUUCGACCAAGAAUGAAAGAGAUUGUUGAAGUCUUAGAAGGGUAUAUGCCAUUGAAAAGUAUAGGGCUAAAUUCGACUUCCAUAAGCCAUCUUUCAUCGACCCUUUCCCAACGGAAGACAUGGGAUGUAUUUAUUAGUUCUAGAGGGAAUGACGAUGUCAGGAAAGGUUUUCUCAGCCAUCUCCUUAAUGCUUUGCAGCAAAAAUAUAUCAAUACCUUCGUGGAUAACCCACUUCGUGAAGGAAAAGAGAUUUCAUCAGCUCUCUUGAAAAUAAUCGAAGAAUCAAGUGUGGCAGUAGUCAUUUUAUCUGAAAAUUAUGCAGGUUCUGCAUGGUGCUUGGACGAGCUUGUGAAAAUACUUGAAUGCAAGCAAGCAUUAGGACAAAUAGUCCUGCCAGUUUUUUACGGUGUACAUCAAAGUGAUGUUAGAAAGCUGAGAGGUAGUUUUGAAAAGGUUUUCAGGCUUACAGAGAACCUUAAAGACUCUUUACACAAGGUGGAUAGAUGGAGCCAUGCUUUGAGGGAAAUAAGCAACUUAUCGGGAUGGGACUCAAGAUAUAUCCAGCCUGACUCCAAGUUAAUUGAGGAAAUUGUCAAUGACAUUUGCAAGAAAUUAAGUCAUGUGCUUCCAAGUGAUUUUCAUAACGACAAUUUAGAAAUCUACCCAACAGAAGAAAGCACGAGUUAGGCAGAUGAAGAUGAUUAAGUCUCCUCAGGUGCGAUUAAUGUAUACAACUCUCUGUUCCCUUUUCAUAUAUCGACAUCGUCGUCAAUGCUUAUUGCUGCACUUGCCUCCUUUUUUUCAAUUGGUUUUUAUAGUUUUUUAUUUAUUGAUAUGGUUUGUGAUUUUGUAAAUUUGAGUUGUGCAUAGAACUCCUCUCUUUCCUUCUGAUUUGAUGAAUUUUGAG
This 977-nucleotide unclassified non-coding RNA is filed under the name Hevea brasiliensis (rubber tree). Lineage: Eukaryota; Viridiplantae; Streptophyta; Magnoliopsida; Malpighiales; Euphorbiaceae. The record is from RNAcentral.